This 467-nucleotide ribosomal RNA is filed under the name uncultured bacterium. RNAcentral describes it as "partial 16S ribosomal RNA". It matches the Rfam family "Bacterial small subunit ribosomal RNA", at positions 29 to 507 of the family's 1533-position model. The record is from RNAcentral.
ACGAACGCUGGCGGCGUGCUUCACACCUGCACGUCGAACGGAAAGGCCCUGCUUUUGUGGGGUGCUCGAGUGGCGAACGGGUGAGUAACACGUGAGUAACCUGCCCUUGACUUUGGGAUAACUUCAGGAAACUGGGGCUAAUACCGGAUAGGAGCUCCUGCUGCAUGGUGGGGGUUGGAAAGUUUCGGCGGUUGGGGAUGGACUCGCGGCUUAUCAGCUUGUUGGUGGGGUAGUGGCUUACCAAGGCUUUGACGGGUAGCCGGCCUGAGAGGGUGACCGGCCACAUUGGGACUGAGAUACGGCCCAGACUCCUACGGGAGGCAGCAGUGGGGAAUAUUGCACAAUGGGCGGAAGCCUGAUGCAGCAACGCCGCGUGCGGGAUGACGGCCUUCGGGUUGUAAACCGCUUUCGCCUGUGACGAAGCGUGAGUGACGGUAAUGGGUAAAGAAGCACCGGCUAACUACGUG